GACGAACGCUGGCGGCGUGCUUAACACAUGCAAGUCGAACGAAAUUAAAAAAUUAUCAUUGAGCUCUCCGAUGAGAUGGGAGCCAAGCGUCGUGACCGCGCAGCGGGCACCACGCGUUCAACAAGUGCAACACCAAGUCGAAGGGUUGAAUGGUAAUUUUUUAAUUUAGUGGCAAACGGGUGAGUAACACGUAGACAACCUGCCGACAGGAUGGGGACAACAUUCCGAAAGGAAUGCUAAUACCGAAUGAAGCGGAGGAGAGGCAUCUCUCUUCCGUGAAAGAUGGCCUCUAUUUAUAAGCUAUCACCUGUCGAUGGGUCUGCGUCUGAUUAGCUGGUUGGUGAGGUAACGGCUCACCAAGGCGACGAUCAGUAGCCGGUCUGAGAGGAUGAACGGCCACAUUGGGACUGAGACACGGCCCAGACUCCUACGGGAGGCAGCAGUGGGGAAUCUUCCGCAAUGGGCGCAAGCCUGACGGAGCAACGCCGCGUGAGUGAAGAAGGUCUUCGGAUCGUAAAGCUCUGUUGACGGGGACGAACGUACGGAGUGCGAAUAGUGCUCUGUAAUGACG
RNAcentral lists this ribosomal RNA (571 nucleotides) under Selenomonas sp. oral taxon H64. Its description in RNAcentral is "bacterial SSU rRNA". It matches the Rfam family "Bacterial small subunit ribosomal RNA", at positions 28 to 474 of the family's 1533-position model. Lineage: Bacteria; Bacillati; Bacillota; Negativicutes; Selenomonadales; Selenomonadaceae. The record is from RNAcentral.